GGCGGUCAGAUGAAUCCGUUCGGAUAAGACCCAUACGCUUGCACACAGAAAGCCCGCUAACAACACGACCAAAAAUUGUAUGUUUUCCGUCUAACCAAGGAGUAGGUGCUAGAGUGAUAAAAAACUGAAGAUGGUUAAAGUUAGUGUAAACAAAGUCAUCAUACCUGUGAUGAAUUUGUGUUAGGUCCAGCAUUGGCCAUUGAUAAAAUGCCAGCUCCAGUGUGAUGUAAAUCGGAAUGAAUCUCAUCGUCAAAUUUAUCCCUAAUCAAUUAAUAAGAAUGUGAAAACUUCGUAAUAAAGAUGCAAACAAUCGGUGAAUGCCGAUUUAUAAAGCUUUGCCUACCCAUAUAUAGAAGUUCCACCUCGACCUGUACCUGUGGGAUCCCCUCCUUGAAUUACAAAGUCUGGAAUAACUCUGUGAAACUAAUUUAAUUAGUACCAAUUUCACGAAUUAAAUCAAAUACGAUAUUGAAUGAAUUAUAGGACACAUAUUUAUAUGACUGACUGAGUCCAUCAUGUAAAUGUGAACAGUUAAAUCAAUAAAAUAACACACUUGA
This is a non-coding RNA of Schizosaccharomyces pombe (fission yeast), 557 nucleotides long. The record is from the annotation of a GenBank genome assembly. NCBI's taxonomy places the organism in Eukaryota, Fungi, Ascomycota, Schizosaccharomycetes, Schizosaccharomycetales, Schizosaccharomycetaceae.